GACGAACGCUGUCGGCGUGCUUAACACAUGCAAGUCGAACGGAAAGGCCCUGCUUUUGUGGGGUGCUCGAGUGGCGAACGGGUGAGCAACACGUGAGUAACCUGCCCUUGACUUUGGGAUAACUUCAGGAAACUGGGGCUAAUACCGGAUAGGAGCUCCUGCUGCAUGGUGGGGGUUGGAAAGUUUCGGCGGUUGGGGAUGGACUCGCGGCUUAUCAGCUUGUUGGUGGGGUAGUGGCUUACCAAGGCUUUGACGGGUAGCCGGCCUGAGAGGGUGACCGGCCACAUUGGGACUGAGAUACGGCCCAGACUCCUACGGGAGGCAGCAGUGGGGAAUAUUGCACAAUGGGCGGAAGCCUGAUGCAGCAACGCCGCGUGCGGGAUGACGGCCUUCGGGUUGUAAACCGCUUUCGCCUGUGACGAAGCGUGAGUGACGGUAAUGGGUAAAGAAGCACCGGCUAACUACGUGCCAGCAGCCGCGGUGAUACGUAGGGUGCGAGCGUUGUCCGGAUUUAUUGGGCGUAAAGGGCUCGUAGGUGGUUGAUCGCGUCGGAAGUGUAAUCUUGGGGCUUAACCCUGAGCGUGCUUUCGAUACGGGUUGACUUGAGGAAGGUAGGGGAGAAUGGAAUUCCUGGUGGAGCGGUGGAAUGCGCAGAUAUCAGGAGGAACACCAGUGGCGAAGGCGGUUCUCUGGGCCUUUCCUGACGCUGAGGAGCGAAAGCGUGGGGAGCGAACAGGCUUAGAUACCCUGGUAGUCCACGCUGUAAACGGUGGGUACUAGGUGUGGGGUCCAUUCCACGGGUUCCGUGCCGUAGCUAACGCUUUAAGUACCCCGCCUGGGGAGUACGGCCGCAAGGCUAAAACUCAAAGGAAUUGACGGGGCCCCGCACAAGCGGCGGAGCAUGCGGAUUAAUUCGAUGCAACGCGUAGAACCUUACCUGGGUUUGACAUGGAUCGGGAGUGCUCAGAGAUGGGUGUGCCUCUUUUGGGGUCGGUUCACAGGUGGUGCAUGCCUGUCGUCAGCUCGUGUCGUGAGAUGUUGGGUUAAGUCCCGCAACGAGCGCAACCCUUGUUCACUGUUGCCAGCACGUUAUGGUGGGGACUCAGUGGAGACCGCCGGGGUCAACUCGGAGGAAGGUGGGGAUGACGUCAAGUCAUCAUGCCCCUUAUGUCCAGGGCUUCACGCAUGCUACAAUGGCUGGUACAGAGAGUGGCGAGCCUGUGAGGGUGAGCGAAUCUCGGAAAGCCGGUCUCAGUUCGGAUUGGGGUCUGCAACUCGACCUCAUGAAGUCGGAGUCGCUAGUAAUCGCAGAUCAGCAACGCUGCGGUGAAUACGUUCCCGGG
Molecule: ribosomal RNA, 1343 nt
Filed under: uncultured bacterium
Lineage: Bacteria
Description: 16S ribosomal RNA
Rfam family: Bacterial small subunit ribosomal RNA
Source: RNAcentral